AAUAAGAUGCCUGAAUAAAAGGAUUAUUUUGAUAGAAUAAAUCAUGUGAUUUUUCACUCUUAUUA
This 65-nucleotide transfer RNA is filed under the name Macromia daimoji. RNAcentral's name for it is "tRNA-Ile". Lineage: Eukaryota; Metazoa; Arthropoda; Insecta; Odonata; Macromiidae. The record is from RNAcentral.